Oxyura jamaicensis (ruddy duck) is the source of this 2781-nucleotide long non-coding RNA. RefSeq lists it as uncharacterized. The transcript is spliced from 2 exons. The record is from RefSeq and is a predicted model, not a curated record. NCBI's taxonomy places the organism in Eukaryota, Metazoa, Chordata, Aves, Anseriformes, Anatidae.
GGGACCUAAUCCACAAUCAUGUUAUCUUUUGUUUCUAAAGGCUUCCUAUACCUGGAAGCAGUGCUUUAUCAUUGCUGAACCAUUAACACAUAAUCUCACUUGUAUACAGAAGCUAGAUGUUAGUCCUUCAGUCUCCUUGACGCAGUGGUCCACUGGAUUUCCUACAGCACAUACUGUGCAAAAUCUAGAGGACUGUGGUUUUCAUGAAAUGUAACCGCAGACAUUGCUUUCUUCAAAACACAGCUAGAAGCAGAAAUGGAGGAGAUGCUUCUGGUCUGAUACAGGACAAAUAUCACAGUCCUGGGCAUUAGGAGUGCCCUCCUCACUGAAUGCUGAGGCAAUAGGCAGUACCAUCAUGCUCCUUUUCUUUUUCCUGAAAGACUUUUUACAACACUGUGGCAAGGGAGAGAUACAAACAGUGAAAGAGCAGUUUGGGAUGUUUUCCAAAAUGCAGGAGAUGAUUUUCUAAUCCCAAGACUGUGGUGCAGAUGGGAAGAUGCUGUUCCUGUGUCUGGCUUUCUUUUACAUAGGCAUUUAUGUCUGGGAGAGGUUUCAGGCUUUGACUUCAAGGUGGAGAGAGGAGCACACCUCUGAUGCUUACUAACCUGGGGGAGAGACCACACAUGAAGUCACAUUGUCACAACACUUGUUUUAUCAGGUAUUGUGCUGAAAGUAACAGUUACAGAGAGGGUAGAGUACCUGAUGUUACUGUACAGAGUGGCUUGGUCCAGCAUCUGUUGAAACUAUUUUUUUUUUUUUUAAUUCUUGCACUCUAGUAGGCAUUUAAUCCUACUGAAUAUUUGAUUUUGAGGUGAAGAAUCAGACUUACAUACCUUGGAAAACAGACAACUAAAAGGUAGGCUAAAACAAAAUUCUGAGAGUGAUUUUAUACAGGGAUUGAUAUUUCACCUUGCAACAACUGCAAUUAUACAAUAAAAAUAGGAAGAGCAAUAUUUUCAUAAACUUAUGAAUCAUUAUUAAUAAAUAAUGAUUUUGGAACCACUGCUUUCGGUACUUAGCCUCAUGCAUUUACAGGGCUGGAUAGUUGAGACUGGAUUCUAGCACCUCCUGAAGUGAACACCUUUUUAAAGUGGCAAGUAUACCCAUGAAAAAAUUAGGCAGCCAAAUUUUAAAGCCACUUCAGAGGAAAACCUGGCUUAACUGAUACAGCAAUAUUAGGUGCUUCAGAAAAGUUUUUUUAUAUAGGAGCACUACACUUAGAAUGUAGACUGAUGAAUUAACCAAAUGAACAAAGAUAUGGUUAUACAUAUAACGGGAUAGAAAAGAUACUGUUUCAUGGCAGCCCUCUGUUUAGGAAGAGAAUACCCAGUUCUCUGAUGCUUCAGUAAUUUUUUAUUCCACUCCCCCAAACUAAAACCAAAGCUUUUGCAACUCAUCUGCAAAAUACAAAUACUUAUUGGAAGCAGUAUAGAAGUAGAAAGCUGUCUUUUCAGCAGUACUAAAUGCUGCAAAAAGCUGUAACUAAAUCUAAAUAGAUUUUGUGUGUGUGUGUGUGUGUGUGUGUGCGUGUUUGGCUUAGCCAUAUGAGAAAGUACAGUAAAACAAAGAGUUUACAAAGCAGUGUCCUAUAUAUUUAUAGAUUGGAUAUAAAUAGUCUAGCUGCAAAUGUUGAAGUUCAAUUUCUUAAUUUCUCCUUUAUUUUUUUAGAUUUAUAAGGUUACAAGGUUAUAAGAUGAGCACAAUUCUUUUUGUGAUCCUAAUGCUGCUCCUGUUAGAUGAAAGAGAGAGAAUUCAAAGGAGAAGUUAAUAUAUAAAGUGGAUUUGGCUUAUGUUUCAUUAACUGAGUAUCUCCACUAAAGAAGUUCUCUUUUGGUAAGAUCAGCAUUUCUCAGGAUUGUUCCUCUUUUUCUCUUCCACUAUCAAUAAUCCUUCUACAUCUUCUCUGUUAAUGUAAUUGAAUUCAAUAUUGUCAGCUAAAACUGAUUCCCAAAUCCUCUUUACUGAAGGAGAUAGUCUGCAAUGGAAAAGGAGCAAAAUCCUAAAACAUGAGACUCUCUUUACACCUCCUCCCCCUCUCCUCCCAUGGCAAACUACUGUUGGGCCUAAGAUUCCUUUUGCGAAUGUGAUGAAAAAAGCUGCAUUAAAAUUAUUGAUCAGCUGUCAGUGACUUAAGGAUCCCAUCUCCUUUAAAAACAAACAAACAAAAACAAAACAAAACAAACAAAUGCAAAACAAACAAGCAAACCCCCAACCAGCCUUCAAUUGCAUAUAGUUAUGUUAAAACUCAAGCUAUUGCAACUAUAUGCAAAUCGGGUGACAGGAAAAGGAAGAAAUAAAUGUACUGUACAAAAGAUGAUUCUGCGUAUCAUCCUUGAUAAAGCAAUUGCUUUUGAUAAAAGUCAAUUCAUUUUCACUUUAAGAUCUGGUUGUUCUGAUUACUCAGCUAACUUAUUGAUGUGAAGAGUCUUCCUCCAAAACCAGAAAAAAAAAAUCUUUUUCAGGAUUUAGUUCCCUGAAGUUUGCUGGGCAACCCUCUCCCUUUGUCCUCUGACUAGUCACUGAACUUUGUUUCCGUGACUGUGAAACUACCUAGCCAUCUUAGGAGAGGUAUUCCUGCCACAUUACUCACACCCUCAAAAUAUAAGUACGUUAUAUUUUAGUGCAAAGUUUUUUCAUAUUCAGCUACUUUUAUUUAAUUUACUUGCAGUAGGGCCUUAGUGGAAGAGCAGAUAAGACUAUCACAGGGCUGCUAUGCAUCCUCUUAGUACUUAUUAAUGUAAUCUUAAAGUUGAUAUGCACAAAAACAAACAAACAACAAAC